UACGAAGGGGGCUAGCGUUGUUCGGAAUUACUGGGCGUAAAGCGCACGUAGGCGGGUUGUUAAGUCAGGGGUGAAAUCCUGGAGCUCAACUCCAGAACUGCCUUUGAUACUGGCAACCUAGAGACUGGAAGAGGUUAGUGGAAUUCCCAGUGUAGAGGUGAAAUUUGUAGAUAUUGGGAAGAACACCGGUGGCGAAGGCGGCGACCUGGGUAGAUACUGACGCUGAGGUGCGAAAGCGUGGGGAGCAAACAGG
RNAcentral lists this ribosomal RNA (253 nucleotides) under uncultured bacterium. RNAcentral's name for it is "partial 16S ribosomal RNA". It matches the Rfam family "Bacterial small subunit ribosomal RNA", at positions 524 to 776 of the family's 1533-position model. The record is from RNAcentral.